Molecule: long non-coding RNA, 295 nt
Filed under: Medicago truncatula (barrel medic)
Lineage: Eukaryota; Viridiplantae; Streptophyta; Magnoliopsida; Fabales; Fabaceae
Description: long non-coding RNA (MTRU_LNC005602)
Source: RNAcentral
AAAGGUGUAAGCCUGCUGAGGCUAAGAGAAUACUGUUGUUGUAAUUGUUCAGGUGAACAAGGUUGUAAGGUGCAGGAUUUGAGAAGUUAUCUCAAGCAUCAUAGUGGAAAAUCUCACAAGAUUGUGAGGAGUGGACUAACCCACAUUGGGUGAACCACUAUAAAUUUCUGUGUGUUCUUCUUCUCUUCUCUUUAAUAUUUACUUACAUUAAACACAACACACACAAACACAUUUAAUUAUUUAAAUUGUUUUUAUACUAACACUUCAGAACGUUCUGAAGUCUGUCUGUUAACUU